RNAcentral lists this long non-coding RNA (907 nucleotides) under Citrus x clementina. RNAcentral describes it as "Citrus clementina (C. clementina) long non-coding RNA (CCLE_LNC005387)". The record is from RNAcentral. Lineage: Eukaryota; Viridiplantae; Streptophyta; Magnoliopsida; Sapindales; Rutaceae.
UAGGGAUAAAAUUAUCAUUUAAUUUAAAUUAUUUAACGGUGUUAGUGUAAAAAUAAUUAAUUGAUACAAAUUAAAAAAGAAAGGUGGUGCAGAUAACAUGUUAGAAUUUUAUGUUGGUUAGAUGAAUAUAAGACAGAAUAGAGAUGGAGCAAUAAUAAUUUCCCUAUACAUAAAUUUGUUAGAAGAAAAAAUUUGGUUCAUGUCUCAAAAAAGACACAGUUAUAACUGUAGAUGCUAAAUUAGAAUUUAUAAAUCUCUAUGAAUAUGAUAAUCAUUUAGAUCUUUAUAAAAAUAUAAUUAAAACUUUAAAAAGUUUUAAAAAUAGAUAUAAAAGAGAUGGAAGGAGAAAUCAUCCAACUAUUCAACAUUAAUAAAUUUAACAAUAUCACAAGAAAUUUAGCAAAUAUUGCAGAAGGGACCUAGUGGUGCCCACCGUGGUAUUUACUGUGGUAUGAAUAUCAUUAUUGUAAUAUAAAUUAUCAAUUAGAAAACUAAAAAUAAUUAGAGAAUCAUUAUAUUACGGAUAAAACUGUGGUGCAACCAUGCCACAGUUGCACCCAACCGUUGGAUUCCCACCAAUUCAAGUGGACCUCACUCAUUUAAGUGGAUCCAACGGCUGGUGCAACUGUGGCACGGUACCACAAUUGCACUGUAGCCCGACCCUUAUAUUACUACCCAAUUACUAAUCUGACUAAUUAAUCAACAUAUGUAUUCAUGUCCUUCUACUGUAUCACAUGUAUAUUGUAAUCAAUAAUGAAACAUUCAGUGCACAAGUGACUAAGAAUCUAAUAUAAUUUAAUACUCAAGACUCUCACCUCAUUAAAAUUCUCAAUAUUUUUUAAUGGCUUAUGAAUAAUGAUGAACCAUUUUUUAAAAUUAUCAUUAUAUAUAGGAAAAAUAUCCACCG